Molecule: ribosomal RNA, 1471 nt
Filed under: metagenome
Description: SSU rRNA
Rfam family: Eukaryotic small subunit ribosomal RNA
Source: RNAcentral
UGCUGAUAACAUUCUGCCCUAUCAACUUUCGAUGGUAAGGUAGUGGCUUACCAUGGUGAUUACGGGUAACGGGGGAUUAGGGUUUGAUUCCGGAGAGGGCGCCUGAGAGAUGGCGACCACUUCCAAGGAAGGCAGCAGGCGCGCAAAUUACCCAAUCCUGACACGGGGAGGUAGUGACAAGAAAUAGUAAAGCGGGGGGCUUGUCCCGCCGCUAUUGCAAUGAGGGCGAGGUAAAGGAACCACCGAGAACCAACUGGAGGGCAAGUGAGGUGCCAGCAGCCGCGGUAAUUCCUUCUCCAGGAGCGUAUAUUAAAGUUGAUGCAGUUAAAAAGCUCGUAGUCGGGGUGUUGUUGGGCUUUGGCUGGUGUGGGGUGACCUGCAGCGGCCGGACCCGGCAGGUGUGUGGGGAUGGGCUGUGGUGUCCUUGAUUGGGCGGCAUGGCCGGCCCCGUCUUUACUUUGAAAAAAUUAGAGUGUUCAAAGCAGGCGUGUGCCUUGAAUAGAUUAACAUGGAAUAAUGGGACAGGACCUUGGGGCUGUUUCGUUGGUUUUUAGACCCGAGGUAAUGAGAAAUAGGGACAGUAGGGGGUAUUCGUAUUUAGUUGUCAGAGGUGAAAUUCUUGGAUUUACUACAGACGAACAUCUGCGAAAGCAUCUACCAAGGAUGUUUUCAUUGAUCAAGAACGAAAGUUAGGGGAUCGAAGGUGAUUAGAGACCAUCUUAGUCUUAACCAUAAACGAUGCCGGCUCGGGAUGGGGGAGGGGUGUUUGCCCCCCUCCGCACCGUGUGGGAAACCAAAGCGUUUGGGUUCCGGGGGGAGUAUGGUCGCAAGGCUGAAACUUAAAGGAAUUGACGGAAGGGCACCACCAGGUGUGGAGCCUGCGGUUUAAUUUGACCCAACACGGGGAAACUCACCAGGUCCAGAUUUUGGAAGGAUUGACAGAUUGAGAGCUCUUUCUUGAUUCAAAAGGUGGUGGUGCAUGGCCGUUCUUAGUUCGUGGACUGAUUUGUCUGGUUAAUUCCGAUAACGAACGAGACCUUGAUGUGCAUGCUGGGCGCGCGGGGGGCGACCCCGGGCGGGCCCACCAUGACAGACUGUCGGCGCGAGCCGGAGGAGGUGCGAGGCAAUAACAGGUCUGGAAUGCCCUUUGAUGUUCUGGGCCACACGCGCGCUACACUGGCGGGAGCAGAGGGUUGGGGUGGCGGAAGCCGUGCCAAAUCCUGGAAAGCCCGCCGUGCUGGGGAUUGGUGCUUGUAAUUGUUCACCAUGAACGAGGAAUACCUUGUAGUCGCGUGUCAUCAGCGCGCGACGAAUACGUCCCUGCCCUUUGUACACACCGCCCGUCGCUACUACCGAUUGGGCUGGGGAGUGAGGUUUCGGGAUUUGGGCGGGGGUGGGGGCGACCCUGGCUCUGCUCGGAGAACUUGACCAAACUAUCCAGUCUAGAGGAAGUAAAAGUCGUAACAAGGUU